GGGCCUUCUCACUCCGAAAGUUAUAUAACUAAGUACCCUACCCCUUUCACAACCAUAACGGAUGUAUGAUAAAUUCAACAAUAACUCUCAUAGUCUGUGGAACCAGGAGCUUGUCAUAUGAUUUCCUUUCAGGGGAGUCAGAAGACUCGUAACAGAACUUUCAACCCCUUUUGGUGCUUAUUUUUUCUGUUUAUGAUAUGUAGAUGUCUACGGAUUCAAGCACCAGUAGUCAUGUUUCUGCUUUGUUUUGAUGCUAUUAUUGACCAGUCAAAAGAAUUACUGUGACCUACCAUGUGAUUCAGAUUUGAUAGUGUACAUUUUACAUGGAUAUGCAACUAUUACUUUUUAGCGUUUCUCUCUUCUGAAUUGGCUUAAUUCAUAAAUUUGUGCUCUUCUGAUGAAGGCUUUUCCAUGCUUCUAAUUCUGUAAUCUUAUUCCUGCUUGUAUCACAAUGACUUUAGCAUUAUAUGCUUUUCUGCACUAAGAAUCUCUUCACUUUACAGUAAAGCUACUGGAAAUGAACAAUAAAUUUGCUUUCUUUCUGUAAUAAUCUAUUAUAGGAAUUGCAGGCUUGGUGCUUCAGUGGAAUGAACAUUGUUCUUGUUUGAUGUUAGGCUUAGAGAGUAUGACUGAGAUGAUAUGUGUUCUUAUCUCAAACUUUCUAGGAAUCUUAGGAGCUGCAACUUGAGUGGCAAGGUUCUUGAUCUAACUAGGAUUCACAACCUUCUUUUCCUGUAACUCUCACAUGAUGAUUCUUCAUCAAUAUUUGAAGUCGGAAUUAAGAUACUUGCAGAAUAUUUAGCAGGACGGAGCUGCAUGUGUAGUUGUUACCAACAUUAUGGGCAAUGGGUUCAGAAAUUGAAGUACUUGAGUAGAGAUUGAGUUUGUUUUUGGGUGAGCUGCAGAAAGAAUUUGAAAUUUUUGAUAGAAUUGUCUACAAAAAUAAGAAUCAGCAUCAAAGGUGCUCUUAUUGUCAGUGUCUGCUCAAGGUGAGAAGGGAUUUGAGGCUUCUGCAAUCAGCAAAUUUGGGGGAAAUCUUGAACUCCUGCUUUGUCGCAAUCCAUAGAAAAAGACCUAAACAAAAAGUGCAGCUUUGGGAAAGUUUGAAGAGGAGAAGGUCUGAUGUUGGUAAAUAUAGCUUUUUGGAACGGCUUCUUGGAGUUGCACGUCUACUAUCGCUGAUAAUGACACUGACGCUGCAAAUCCUGAAUCUGCUCCAGAAGGUCCUGAUGGCAAGGUCAAGACAUUGGUUCUUUGGCUGAUCCUGUUUCACAAGGUAAGUAUAUAAGAGACGGUUCUUCCAUUGCAGGACCUGCUGCAAAGAGUAGCAUGACUCUGGAAGAUGGCCUACUUACAACUUCAAAGCUUAUCUCCGCAUUUGAGUCCCUUUAACACACAAGGCCGGGAAGAAAAAGGUUGCCUUCUUAGCGGUGAGAGCUCCUUCACCAUCAACCGCACACAUAAACUUGAUUCUGGUGUCAAACUAACAGACAAAAGUUGAUUAACAGAAAUGGGAUGCAUUUUUCAGUCUGCUUAUUGGUGACAAUAAGAAGAGCAGUAGUAUCUCUUACGAGUAUAUUCAGACCAAAAAGCCAGUCAUAUUGUGCUUUUUCCCCCUCUCUAUGGCUGUUUUUUUUUU
This is a long non-coding RNA of Coffea arabica (coffee), 1639 nucleotides long. RefSeq lists it as uncharacterized. NCBI's taxonomy places the organism in Eukaryota, Viridiplantae, Streptophyta, Magnoliopsida, Gentianales, Rubiaceae. The record is from RefSeq and is a predicted model, not a curated record.